AUUGAACGCUGGCGGCAUGCUUUACACAUGCAAGUCGAACGGUAACAGGUUAAGCUGACGAGUGGCGAACGGGUGAGUAAUGCAUCGGAACGUGCCCGAUCGUGGGGGAUAACGCAGCGAAAGCUGCGCUAAUACCGCAUACGAUCUGAGGGUGAAAGCGGGGACCGUAAGGCCUCGCGCGAUCGGAGCGGCCGAUGUCAGAUUAGGUAGUUGGUGGGGUAAAGGCGCACCAAGCCAACGAUCUGUAGCUGGUCUGAGAGGACGACCAGCCACACUGGGACUGAGACAAGGCCCAGACUCCGACGGGAGGCAGCAGUGGGGAAUUUUGGACAAUGGGCGAAAGCCUGAUCCAGCAAUGCCGCGUGCAGGAAGAAGGCCUUCGGGUUGUAAACUGCUUUUGUACGGAGCGAAAAGGCUCUCUCUAAUACAGGGGGCUCAUGACGGUACCGUAAGAAUAAGCACCGGCUAACUACGUGCCAGCCGCCGCCGUAA
RNAcentral lists this ribosomal RNA (492 nucleotides) under uncultured bacterium. RNAcentral describes it as "partial 16S ribosomal RNA". It matches the Rfam family "Bacterial small subunit ribosomal RNA", at positions 29 to 523 of the family's 1533-position model. The record is from RNAcentral.